GACGAACGCUGGCGGCGUGCCUAAUACAUGCAAGUCGAACGCAGUGGGGACGGGUGAGUAACACGUGGGUAACCUCCCAUCAGAGGGGAUAACACUUGGAAACAGGUGCUAAACCGAUACUGAUGGAUGGACCCGGGGGGCAUUCGCUAGUUGGUGAGGUAACGGCUCACCAAGGCCACGAUGCAUAGCCGACCUGAGAGGGUGACCGGCCACACUGGGACUGAGACACGGCCCAGACUCCUACGGGAGGCAGCAGUGGGGAAUAUUCGGCAAUGGACGAAAGCCUGACCGAGCAAUGCCGCGUGAGUGAAGAAGGUCUUCGGAUUGUAAAACUCUGUUGUCAGGGAAGCGUUAUCCAACCAGAAAGCCACGGCUAACUCCGUGCCAGCAGCCGCGGUAAUUC
This 403-nucleotide ribosomal RNA is filed under the name uncultured bacterium. Its description in RNAcentral is "partial 16S ribosomal RNA". It matches the Rfam family "Bacterial small subunit ribosomal RNA", at positions 28 to 526 of the family's 1533-position model. The record is from RNAcentral.